This is a long non-coding RNA of Arabidopsis thaliana (thale cress), 226 nucleotides long. RefSeq annotates it as other RNA. The transcript has a single exon. NCBI's taxonomy places the organism in Eukaryota, Viridiplantae, Streptophyta, Magnoliopsida, Brassicales, Brassicaceae. The record is from RefSeq.
GAAGCCGAGAUGUUGAUAGGUUACAGGGAGAGUUUCGUGUACCGCAAGAAACAGAAUUGUAAUUCCUAUGGAAGUAUACUUGGUUCAUGACUCAGUAUUAUUCCCUUUGCGAUGAUCACAGCUUUGUCUUGUGCAGGAUCCGACACCAGAGAAGAUAGAUGGAAGAUGGUGUUUUCUUAAGGUUUAGCUGAUGCAUUUGAUACGCUUGUGAUUGGUUUUCUUUUCA